RNAcentral lists this unclassified non-coding RNA (1694 nucleotides) under Hevea brasiliensis (rubber tree). Lineage: Eukaryota; Viridiplantae; Streptophyta; Magnoliopsida; Malpighiales; Euphorbiaceae. The record is from RNAcentral.
CUUCACUUUCAUUCACUCACUGGCUCAUUAUAACUCCAAAAGUAGCAAUACAGAGGAAGAGGAAAGAAUGAUAAAGAAGGAGAAAUUCUUGAAGGAACAUCCAUAUUUGCUGGAAAAGGAGGUCUCUCGCUCUGAUUUUCCUCCUAAUUUUCUCUUUGGUGUUGCCACUUCUGCCUAUCAGAUUGAAGGUGGCUGCAGGGAAGGUGGUAGAGGUCCUAGUAUAUGGGAUGCUUUUUCACACACCAAAGGAACUAUUCUUGAUGGAAGCAAUGGUGAUGUGGCAGUGGAUCAUUAUCAUCGAUACAAGGAAGACAUUGAACUCAUCGCUAAGUUGGGGUUUGAUGCUUAUCGAUUUUCCAUAUCAUGGUCUCGCAUUUUCCCUGAUGGUUUGGGAACCAAAGUCAAUGAAGAAGGGAUAGCAUUCUAUAACAAUAUCAUUAAUGCUCUUCUUGAAAAGGGUAUAGAGCCAUAUAUAACUCUGUACCAUUGGGAUCUCCCCUUGCAUCUUCAAGAGUCAAUGGGAGGGUGGUUGAAUAAGGAAAUUGUAAAAUACUUUGCAAUCUAUGCAGACACUUGCUUUGCAAGUUUUGGUGAUAGAGUUAAGAAAUGGAUUACUCUAAAUGAGCCUCUCCAAACAGCAGUAAAUGGAUUUGAUACUGGAAUACUUGCUCCUGGAAAACAUGAACAUUCAGAUACAGAACCAUUUUUGGCUUCACACCACCAGAUCUUGGCCCAUGCAACAGCUGUUUCCAUAUACCGCAGCAUGUACAAAGACAAUCAAGGAGGAGAAGUAGGCUUGGUGGUGGACUGUGAAUGGGCUGAAGCUAAUUCAGAUAAAAUUGAAGAUAAAGCUGCUGCUGCAAAACGGCUUGAGUUUCAGCUUGGAUGGUAUUUGCAUCCUUUAUAUUAUGGAGACUAUCCUGAAGUUAUGCGUAAAAUACUGGGAGAUGGGCUCCCAAAAUUCUCAGAGGAAGAUAAGGAAUUACUUAGGAACUCACUUGACUUCAUUGGUCUAAAUCACUAUUCUUCAAGAUUCAUUAAGCAUGUUACAGAUAGCCCUGCAGAAUGCUAUUACUAUAAAGCCCAAGAAAUUGAGAGACUUGCUAAAUGGGAAGAUGGUGAGCCAAUCGGCGAGAGGGCAGCAUCAGAAUGGCUCUAUGUUUGUCCUUGGGGACUUCGGAAGGUUCUCAAUUACAUAGUCCAGAGAUACAAUAAUCCCAUAAUUUAUGUUACUGAGAAUGGUAUGGAUGAUGAAGACUCCAGUGCCCCUCUCCAUGAAAUGCUAGAUGACAAACUGAGAGUUCGCUAUUUUAAAGGAUACCUUGCUGCAGUUGCUCAGGCAAUCAAAGACGGAGCAGAUGUGAGGGGAUAUUUUGCAUGGUCAUUGUUGGACAAUUUUGAAUGGGCUCAAGGUUAUACCAAGCGUUUUGGUUUGAUCUAUGUGGAUUACAAGAAUGGACUUGCUCGCCACCCAAAGUCUUCUGCUUAUUGGUUCAUGAGGUUCUUGAAAGGUGAUGAAGGGAAAAAUGGCAAAGAGUGACUCACUUGUACUGUAACAGGAAGCCCAGUUCUGAUUUUCAGUUUGUUUUCAUUAUAUUACCUGAUAAUUGGCCAAGUAUUGUACUUUUGGCAGAAGGGUUUUGUACUUUUAUCUCUCCCCCUUUGUUAUAAUGAGACAAAUUCCGUAUGUCUCU